AGAGCGAAUGCUGGCGGCAGGCUUAACACAUGCAAGUCGAGCGGGCGUAGCAAUACGUCAGCGGCAGACGGGUGAGUAACGCGUGGGAACAUACCUUUUGGUUCGGAACAACACAGGGAAACUUGUGCUAAUACCGGAUAAGCCCUUACGGGGAAAGAUUUAUCGCCGAAAGAUUGGCCCGCGUCUGAUUAGCUAGUUGGUGAGGUAACGGCUCACCAAGGCGACGAUCAGUAGCUGGUCUGAGAGGAUGAUCAGCCACAUUGGGACUGAGACACGGCCCAAACUCCUACGGGAGGCAGCAGUGGGGAAUAUUGGACAAUGGGCGCAAGCCUGAUCCAGCCAUGCCGCGUGAGUGAUGAAGGCCCUAGGGUUGUAAAGCUCUUUGUGCGGGAAGAUAAUGACGGUACCGCAAGAAUAAGCCCGGCUAACUUCGCGCCAGCAGCCGC
RNAcentral lists this ribosomal RNA (446 nucleotides) under uncultured bacterium. RNAcentral describes it as "SSU rRNA". It matches the Rfam family "Bacterial small subunit ribosomal RNA", at positions 26 to 518 of the family's 1533-position model. The record is from RNAcentral.